Long non-coding RNA from Octopus sinensis (East Asian common octopus), 612 nucleotides. RefSeq lists it as uncharacterized. The transcript is spliced from 3 exons. The record is from RefSeq and is a predicted model, not a curated record. Lineage: Eukaryota; Metazoa; Mollusca; Cephalopoda; Octopoda; Octopodidae.
GUUUUUGUCGAGGGAAAAAGUUGGAUUCAUAUUUAAAGUGUCAGAGGAGUGGUCCUUCUUAUCAAAGGGUACUGUCCUUGGGUGUUCAAAUAGCUCAGGCAUUGGGGUACCUGCAUAGUCGGGAUAUUACUCACUGUGAUCUCAGAUCUGUCAAUAUAUUUGUCGAUAGUGGGAAAAUAACUAUUAUUAAUUUUGGGAUAUAUAAACUGGAAAGAACAUUUGGAAUUUUAAGAUUCAGUCGUGGUUGGUUGUCCUCCUUGGCGCCUGAAAUCAUUCGGAAGGUCUCAGGUUUUUCUACUGACUUUGAAUUUACCAAGUUUUCAGAUGUUUUUGCCUUUGGGUAUUUUUUUAGUUAAUUUGAAGUGCAUUAUUAUUUGAAAUGUUUGGGUUGGAAAAGCCAUUUGAGAAUGAUUGUGCAGAACAGGUCAUUUUAAAGGUAGGGAAUGGGGUAUUCCCGUCAAUUGGAUCAUUGUCUAUUCCGAGAGAGACUAUGGUGGAUGUCGGGUUAUAUUGGAUAGGACUUGGUCUCUCAUUGUAUGCGAUUUGACCCACUGAAACGACCUUCGUUUGAAAUGCUGAUUGACCGAUUGAACACAAUCUCAAGCCGACACA